RNAcentral lists this ribosomal RNA (2900 nucleotides) under Streptococcus pneumoniae. RNAcentral's name for it is "23S ribosomal RNA". It matches the Rfam family "Bacterial large subunit ribosomal RNA". The record is from RNAcentral. Lineage: Bacteria; Bacillati; Bacillota; Bacilli; Lactobacillales; Streptococcaceae.
UUAAGUUAAUAAGGGCGCACGGUGGAUGCCUUGGCACUAGGAGCCGACGAAGGACGUGACAAACGACGAUAUGCCUUGGGUAGCUGUAAGUAAGCGAUGAUCCAGGGAUUUCCGAAUGGGGGAACCCAACAGGUAAUACCUGUUACCUACAUCUGUUAAGGAUGUGAGGAGGAAGACGCAGUGAACUGAAACAUCUAAGUAGCUGCAGGAAGAGAAAGCAAAAGCGAUUGCCUUAGUAGCGGCGAGCGAAACGGCAGAAGGGCAAACCGAAGAGUUUACUCUUCGGGGUUGUAGGACUGCAAUGUGGACUCAAAGAUUAUAGAAGAAUGAUUUGGGAAGAUCAGCCAAAGAGAGUAAUAGCCUCGUAUUUAAAAUAGUCUUUGUACUUAGCAGUAUCCUGAGUACGGCGGGACACGUGAAAUCCCGUCGGAAUCUGGGAGGACCAUCUCCCAACCCUAAAUACUCCCUAGUGACCGAUAGUGAACCAGUACCGUGAGGGAAAGGUGAAAAGCACCCCGGGAGGGGAGUGAAAUAGAACCUGAAACCGUGUGCCUACAACAAGUUCGAGCCCGUUAAUGGGUGAGAGCGUGCCUUUUGUAGAAUGAACCGGCGAGUUACGUUAUGAUGCGAGGUUAAGUUGAAGAGACGGAGCCGUAGGGAAACCGAGUCUGAAUAGGGCGCCUUAGUAUCAUGACGUAGACCCGAAACCAUGUGACCUACCCAUGAGCAGGUUGAAGGUGCGGUAAGACGCACUGGAGGACCGAACCAGGGCACGUUGAAAAGUGCUUGGAUGACUUGUGGGUAGCGGAGAAAUUCCAAACGAACUUGGAGAUAGCUGGUUCUCUCCGAAAUAGCUUUAGGGCUAGCGUCGACAUUAGAGAUUCUUGGAGGUAGAGCACUGUUUGGGUGAGGGGUCCAUCCCGGAUUACCAAUCUCAGAUAAACUCCGAAUGCCAAUGAAUUAUGGUCGGCAGUCAGACUGCGAGUGCUAAGAUCCGUAGUCGAAAGGGAAACAGCCCAGACCACCAGCUAAGGUCCCAAAAUAAUUGUUAAGUGGAAAAGGAUGUGGGGUUGCACAGACAACUAGGAUGUUAGCUUAGAAGCAGCUAUUCAUUCAAAGAGUGCGUAAUAGCUCACUAGUCGAGUGACCCUGCGCCGAAAAUGUACCGGGGCUAAAACAAUUUACCGAAGCUGUGGAUACCUUUAUAGGUAUGGUAGGAGAGCGUUCUAUGUGUGAUGAAGGUAUACCGUGAGGAGUGCUGGAACGCAUAGAAGUGAGAAUGCCGGUAUGAGUAGCGAAAGACAGGUGAGAAUCCUGUCCACCGUAAGACUAAGGUUUCCAGGGGAAGGCUCGUCCGCCCUGGGUUAGUCGGGACCUAAGGAGAGACCGAAAGGUGUAUCCGAUGGACAACAGGUUGAUAUUCCUGUACUAGAGUAUGUAGUGAUGGAGGGACGCAGUAGGCUAACUAAAGCAGACGAUUGGAAGAGUCUGUCUAAGCAGUGAGGUGUGAAUUGAGUCAAAUGCUUAAUUCUAUAACAUUGAGCUGUGAUGGGGAGCGAAGUUUAGUAGCGAAGUUAGUGACGUCACACUGCCAAGAAAAGCUUCUAGCGUUUAAACAUACUCUACCCGUACCGCAAACCGACACAGGUAGUCGAGGCGAGUAGCCUCAGGUGAGCGAGAGAACUCUCGUUAAGGAACUCGGCAAAAUGACCCCGUAACUUCGGGAGAAGGGGUGCUGACUUAAAGUCAGCCGCAGUGAAUAGGCCCAAGCAACUGUUUAUCAAAAACACAGCUCUCUGCUAAAUCGUAAGAUGAUGUAUAGGGGGUGACGCCUGCCCGGUGCUGGAAGGUUAAGAGGAGUGCUUAGCGUAAGCGAAGGUAUGAAUUGAAGCCCCAGUAAACGGCGGCCGUAACUAUAACGGUCCUAAGGUAGCGAAAUUCCUUGUCGGGUAAGUUCCGACCCGCACGAAAGGCGUAAUGAUUUGGGCACUGUCUCAACGAGAGACUCGGUGAAAUUUUAGUACCUGUGAAGAUGCAGGUUACCCGCGACAGGACGGAAAGACCCCAUGGAGCUUUACUGCAGUUUGAUAUUGAGUGUCUGUACCACAUGUACAGGAUAGGUAGGAGUCUAAGAGAUCGGGACGCCAGUUUCGAAGGAGACGCUGUUGGGAUACUACCCUUGUGUUAUGGCCACUUUAACCCAGAUAGGUGAUCCCUAUCGGAGACAGUGUCUGACGGGCAGUUUGACUGGGGCGGUCGCCUCCUAAAAGGUAACGGAGGCGCCCAAAGGUUCCCUCAGAAUGGUUGGAAAUCAUUCGCAGAGUGUAAAGGUAUAAGGGAGCUUGACUGCGAGAGCUACAACUCGAGCAGGGACGAAAGUCGGGCUUAGUGAUCCGGUGGUUCCGUAUGGAAGGGCCAUCGCUCAACGGAUAAAAGCUACCCUGGGGAUAACAGGCUUAUCUCCCCCAAGAGUUCACAUCGACGGGGAGGUUUGGCACCUCGAUGUCGGCUCGUCGCAUCCUGGGGCUGUAGUCGGUCCCAAGGGUUGGGCUGUUCGCCCAUUAAAGCGGCACGCGAGCUGGGUUCAGAACGUCGUGAGACAGUUCGGUCCCUAUCCGUCGCGGGCGUAGGAAAUUUGAGAGGAUCUGCUCCUAGUACGAGAGGACCAGAGUGGACUUACCGCUGGUGUACCAGUUGUCUUGCCAAAGGCAUCGCUGGGUAGCUAUGUAGGGAAGGGAUAAACGCUGAAAGCAUCUAAGUGUGAAACCCACCUCAAGAUGAGAUUUCCCAUGAUUAUAUAUCAGUAAGAGCCCUGAGAGAUGAUCAGGUAGAUAGGUUAGAAGUGGAAGUGUGGCGACACAUGUAGCGGACUAAUACUAAUAGCUCGAGGACUUAUCCAA